GCUGUUAGUUUGUGGGAUGGUG
Molecule: microRNA, 22 nt
Filed under: Ixodes ricinus (castor bean tick)
Lineage: Eukaryota; Metazoa; Arthropoda; Arachnida; Ixodida; Ixodidae
Description: iri-miR-X1c-5p
Source: RNAcentral